GACGGAGGAUGCAAGUGUUAUCCGGAAUCACUGGGCGUAAAGCGUCUGUAGGUUGUCAAAUAAGUCAACUGUUAAAUCUUGAGGCUCAACUUCAAAAUCGCAGUCGAAACUAUUAGACUAGAGUAUAGUAGGGGUAAAGGGAAUUUCCAGUGGAGCGGUGAAAUGCGUAGAGAUUGGAAAGAACACCGAUGGCGAAGGCACUUUACUGGGCUAUUACUGACACUCAGAGACGAAAGCUAGGGUAGCAAACAGG
RNAcentral lists this ribosomal RNA (253 nucleotides) under uncultured bacterium. RNAcentral describes it as "partial 16S ribosomal RNA". It matches the Rfam family "Bacterial small subunit ribosomal RNA", at positions 524 to 776 of the family's 1533-position model. The record is from RNAcentral.